This 728-nucleotide ribosomal RNA is filed under the name Dolichospermum affine AG10008. RNAcentral describes it as "bacterial SSU rRNA". It matches the Rfam family "Bacterial small subunit ribosomal RNA", at positions 48 to 818 of the family's 1533-position model. Lineage: Bacteria; Bacillati; Cyanobacteriota; Cyanophyceae; Nostocales; Aphanizomenonaceae. The record is from RNAcentral.
UUAACACAUGCAAGUCGAACGGAAUCUUUAGGGAUUUAGUGGCGGACGGGUGAGUAACGCGUGAGAAUCUGGCUUCAGGUCUGGGACAACCACUGGAAACGGUGGCUAAUACCGGAUGUGCCGAGAGGUGAAAGGCUUGCUGCCUGAAGAUGAGCUUGCGUCUGAUUAGCUAGUUGGUGGGGUAAGAGCCUACCAAGGCGACGAUCAGUAGCUGGUCUGAGAGGAUGAUCAGCCACACUGGGACUGAGACACGGCCCAGACUCAUACGGGAGGCAGCAGUGGGGAAUUUUCCGCAAUGGGCGAAAGCCUGACGGAGCAAUACCGCGUGAGGGAGGAAGGCUCUUGGGUUGUAAACCUCUUUUCUCAGGGAAGAAAAAAAUGACGGUACCUGAGGAAUAAGCAUCGGCUAACUCCGUGCCAGCAGCCGCGGUAAUACGGAGGAUGCAAGCGUUAUCCGGAAUGAUUGGGCGUAAAGGGUCCGCAGGUGGCUGUGUAAGUCUGCUGUUAAAUAGUCAUGCUCAACAUGAUAAAGGCAGUGGAAACUACAUAGCUAGAGUGCGUUCGGGGCAGAGGGAAUUCCUGGUGUAGCGGUGAAAUGCGUAGAUAUCAGGAAGAACACCGGUGGCGAAAGCGCUCUGCUAGGCCGCAACUGACACUGAGGGACGAAAGCUAGGGGAGCGAAUGGGAUUAGAUACCCCAGUAGUCCUAGCCGUAAACGAUGGAUACUA